Rhododendron vialii is the source of this 2136-nucleotide RNA transcript. It is a transcript of the gene named dicarboxylate transporter 1, chloroplastic, with no coding region annotated. The transcript is spliced from 4 exons. NCBI's taxonomy places the organism in Eukaryota, Viridiplantae, Streptophyta, Magnoliopsida, Ericales, Ericaceae. The record is from RefSeq and is a predicted model, not a curated record.
UCCCUCCCAUCAUCGCCCCCACCAAUCGCUCUCUGCACCACAGAUCUCACUCUCUCUCACUACUCUUCCCUCCAUUUCUCUCUCUCUCUCUCUAGAAAAACGCCACCCCAGCGAUGGCGUCCCUCCCCCUCACCUCCGCCUUAAACCUAGGGUUCCGCCCCCUCAAGAAGUCUUCUUUCUCCGCCGGCAAAUCACCUCCCUUUCUAAACCUCAAAUCCAACCCCCAUCACCUCAAAAUCCACUCCAAACCAUUCUCUCUCAGUAAUAAUAAUAACUUCCCAGUCGAGAAGUCUUCUUUCCACUUAAUCCCCUCCGCCGCCUCCACGCCGUCCGCCGUCCCGGCUCCGCCACCACCGCAGCCAUGGCAGGGCGCCUCCAUGACGCCCCUCCUCGCCUCCCUCGCCACGGGCGUCAUCCUCUGGUUCAUCCCUCCCCCUGCCGGCGUCUCCAAAAUUGCCUGGCAAUUACUGUCUAUAUUCUUAGCCACCAUCGUCGGAAUCAUAACCCAGCCCCUCCCCCUCGGCGCCGUGGCCCUCCUCGGCCUCGGCGCCGCCGUCCUCACCAAGACCCUCCCCUUCGCCGCCGCCUUCUCCGCCUUCGGCGACCCUAUCCCCUGGCUCAUCGCCCUCGCCUUCUUCUUCGCCCGCGGCUUCAUCAAGACCGGCCUCGGCAACCGCGUCGCCUACCAGUUCGUCUCCCUCUUCGGCUCCUCCUCCCUCGGCCUCGGCUACAGCUUAGUCUUCAGCGAAGCCCUAUUGUCCCCAGCCAUCCCCUCCGUCUCCGCUCGCGCCGGCGGCAUCUUCCUCCCCUUGGUCAGAUCCCUCAGCGUCGCCUGCGGGAGCAACGUCGGCGACGGGACGGAGCACAAGCUGGGAUCGUGGCUGAUGCUAACGUGCUUCCAGACGUCGGUGAUUUCGAGCUCGAUGUUUUUAACGGCGAUGGCGGCAAACCCAUUGAGUGCGAACUUGGCGUUCAGUGCGAUCGGGCAGACGAUCGGGUGGAUGGAUUGGGCCAAGGCGGCGAUUGUGCCUGGUUUGGUGUCCUUGAUUUUGGUGCCGUUGAUUUUGUACGUGAUUUAUCCGCCGUCUGUGAAGAGUAGCCCCGAUGCACCCAAGUUGGCGAGGGAGAAGUUGAAUAGUAUGGGACCCAUGUCGAGGAAUGAGAUCAUAAUGGCUGGAACUCUGGUUCUUACGGUCGGACUAUGGGUAUUCGGAGGCGUGCUGAAUGUGGAUGCGGUUACUGCUGCCAUCCUUGGUUUAUCUGUUCUCCUAAUAACAGGGGUUGUCACUUGGAAGGAAUGCUUAGCCGAAUCGGUUGCUUGGGAUACUCUCACGUGGUUUGCUGCACUCAUUGCAAUGGCUGGUUAUCUCAACAAAUAUGGUCUUAUCUCAUGGUUCAGCCAAACUGUUGUUAAGUUUGUUGGCGGAUUGGGUCUUUCAUGGCAGCUAUCUUUUGGCAUCUUGGUUCUUCUCUAUUUCUACUCUCACUACUUCUUUGCCAGUGGAGCAGCUCAUAUCGGUGCAAUGUUUACAGCUUUCUUGUCAGUUGCUAGUGCUUUAGGGACCCCACCAUACUUGGGAGCCAUGGUUCUUGCCUUCCUUUCCAACUUGAUGGGAGGCCUCACCCACUACGGGAUCGGAUCAGCACCCGUUUUCUAUGGUGCAAACUACGUUCCUCUUGCUAAAUGGUGGGGCUACGGAUUCCUCAUCUCCAUUGUCAAUCUCAUUAUUUGGCUUGGUGUUGGAGGGGUUUGGUGGAAGUUCCUUGGUUUGUGGUAGAGGGGGUUGGUUUGGUUAAUUUGCCGAGCCAAACUUAAAUGAUUUCCUUAUUUCUGCUCGCCCGAAGGUUCAGGGGUCUUUACAGUUUGGAAGUGAGGCUAUAUUCGCUGCUUGGUUGAGAUUGCUUCCAAAUCCACUUCUAGCUGUUCUAGAGCUAUUAAGAUGCCCCAUUGUUUGAUGUUGUUUUUGUUUCUGUUUCAAGUGGAGAGGGCAUUGUUAUCAAGUAAGCUGGAAUUUUGUGCACUUUGUAUAUCCUUUAGGUCUCUGUAGAAGUUGUGUCCGAUGAAUAUCAACAUUAUUGAAGGAUCCAGAAGGAUUUGAGCACUUGGUUAGCAUAUGAAUUUAGCAUUUAUUUGCG